AGGUUAAGUACUUAAGGUACGGAGCCGAAGUGAAAGCAAGUGUUAACAGCACGUUGAGUCAGACCGGGCAGACCCGAAACCGGGUGAUCUACCCAUGUCCAGGUUGAAGUUGCCGUAAAAGGCAAUGGAGGACCGAACGCACAUCCGUUGAAAAGGGUGGCGAUGAGGUGUGGGUAGGGGAGAAAUUCCAAUCGAACCCGGAGAUAGCUGGUUCUCCUCGAAAUAGCUUUAGGGCUAGCCUCAUUUUAGUCUUAUGGAGGUAGAGCACUGAAUUUCCGCGGGGGCGUCAAAGCUUACCAAAGAAUAUCAAACUCCGAAUGCCAUGUAGAUGAUGAUCGGGAGUCAGACUGCACGAGAUAAGUUGGGCAGUCAAAAGGGAAAGAGCCCAGACCACCGGCUAAGGUCCCAAAGUGCGUGUUAAGUGGAAAAGGAUGUGGGAAUUCGAAGACAACUAGGAUGUUGGCUCAGAAGCAGCCAUACAUUCAAAGAGUGCGUAACAGCUCACUAGUCGAGAGUUCCUGCGCCGAAAAUGUCCGGGGCUGAAACACGACACCGAAGCCGUGGACUCGCAAUGCGAGUGGUAGAGGAGCAUUCUUAAAACCGACGAAGCUGUACCGGAAGGAGCAGUGGAGGGAUAAGAAGAGAGAAUGCCGGAAUGAGUAGCGAGAGAAAGGUGGGAAUCCUUUCGGCCGAAUAUCUAAGGUUUCCAGAGUAAAGCUGAUCUGCUCUGGGUAAGUCGGGGCCUAAGCACAGGUCGCAAGACGUAAGCGAUGGAUAACAGGUUUAGAUUCCUGUACCACGCAUUAUCAGAACUGUAGGGACGCAUGUGGAAAGCACGGGCUGGGAAUGGAAAGACCGGUACAAGCGGGGUAGGUGUACAAUAGGCAAAUCCGUUGUAUAAUCCGAAGACGUGAUGUGGAGCGAAAUAAAGUAGCAAAGCGUGUGAGCCAUGUGCCGAGAAAAGCUGCUAUUGUGUAAUGCGUGCCCGUACCGUAAACCGACACAGGUGGAUGAGGAGAGAAUCCUAAGGCCGACGGAAGAAGCAUUGUUAAGGAAUUCGGCAAAAUGACCCCGUAACUUCGGGAGAAGGGGUGCCUGCGAGAGCAGGCCGCAGAGAAUAGGCUCAAGCAACUGUUUAGCAAAAACACAGGUCUAUGCGAAACCGAAAGGUGAAGUAUAUGGGCUGACGCCUGCCCGGUGCUGGAAGGUUAAGAGGAGAGGUUAGCGCAAGCGAAGCUUUGAAUUUAAGCCCCAGUAAACGGCGGCCGUAACUAUAACGGUCCUAAGGUAGCGAAAUUCCUUGUCGGGUAAGUUCCGACCCGCACGAAAGGCGUAAUGAUUUGGGCACUGUCUCGACAAUGCACCCGGUGAAAUUGAAAUACCAGUGAAGAUGCUGGUUACCUGCGCCAGGACGGAAAGACCCCAUGGAGCUUUACUCUAGCUUGAUACUGGGAUUCGGUAUUGCAUGUACAGGAUAGGUGGGAGACUAAGAGGUGAUGACGCCAGUUGUCACGGAGUCGAUGUUGGGAUACCACCCCUGCAGUACUGGGUUUCUAACCUGCGGCCGUGACCCGGCCGGGGGACAAUGUCUGGUGGGGAGUUUGACUGGGGCGGUCGCCUCCGAAAGGGUAUCGGAGGCGCUCAAAGGUUCCCUCAGAAUGGUUGGAAACCAUUCGAAGAGUGCAAAGGCAGAAGGGAGCUUGACUGCGACACCGACGGGUGGAGCAGGUACGAAAGUAGGACUUAGUGAUCCGGUGGUAUGAAAGUGGGAUUGCCAUCGCUCAACGGAUAAAAGCUACCCUGGGGAUAACAGGCUUAUCACUCCCAAGAGUUCACAUCGACGGAGUGGUUUGGCACCUCGAUGUCGGCUCAUCGCAUCCUGGGGCUGUAGUAGGUCCCAAGGGUUGGGCUGUUCGCCCAUUAAAGCGGUACGCGAGCUGGGUUCAGAACGUCGUGAGACAGUUCGGUCCCUAUCCGGCGUGGGCGCAGGAUAUCUGAGAGGAGCUGUCCUUAGUACGAGAGGACCGGGAUGGACUGACCUCUGGUGCAUCGGUUGAGCCACCAGGCUCAUGGCCGAGUAGCCAAGUCGGGACGGGAUAAACGCUGAAGGCAUCUAAGCGUGAAGCCCCCCUCAAGAUGAGAUAUCCCAUAGAGUUAAUCUAGUAAGACCCCUUGAAGACGACGAGGUAGAUAGGCAGAAGGUGGAAGUGUGGUGACAUAUGGAGCUGAUCUGUACUAAUAGGUCGAGGGCUUAACCGA
Molecule: ribosomal RNA, 2259 nt
Filed under: human gut metagenome
Description: bacterial LSU rRNA
Rfam family: Bacterial large subunit ribosomal RNA
Source: RNAcentral